GACGAACGCUGGCGGCGUGCUUAACACAUGCAAGUCGAACGGAAAGGCCCUGCUUUUGUGGGGUGCUCGAGUGGCGAACGGGUGAGUAACACGUGAGUAACCUGCCCUUGACUUUGGGAUAACUUCAGGAAACUGGGGCUAAUACCGGAUAGCAGCUCCUGCUGCAUGGUGGGGGUUGGAAAGUUUCGGCGGUUGGGGAUGGACUCGCGGCUUAUCGGCUUGUUGGUGGGGUAGUGGCUUGCCAAGGCAUUGACGGGUAGCCGGCCUGAGAGGGUGAGAGGCGACAUUGGGACUGAGAGACGGCACAGGCUCCUACGGGAGGCAGCAGUGGGGAAGAUUGCACAAGGGGCGGAGGGCGGAUGCAGCAACGCCGCGUGUGGGAUGGCGGCCUUCGGGGUGUAGACCGCCUGCGGCUGUGACGAAGCGUGAGUGACGGGAAUGGGUAGAGAAGGACCGGGUAACUACGUG
RNAcentral lists this ribosomal RNA (468 nucleotides) under uncultured bacterium. RNAcentral's name for it is "partial 16S ribosomal RNA". It matches the Rfam family "Bacterial small subunit ribosomal RNA", at positions 28 to 507 of the family's 1533-position model. The record is from RNAcentral.